This 433-nucleotide ribosomal RNA is filed under the name uncultured bacterium. RNAcentral's name for it is "partial 16S ribosomal RNA". It matches the Rfam family "Bacterial small subunit ribosomal RNA", at positions 29 to 507 of the family's 1533-position model. The record is from RNAcentral.
AACGAACGCUGGCGGCAUGCCUAACACAUGCAAGUCGAACGAGACCUUCGGGUCUAGUGGCGCACGGGUGCGUAACGCGUGGGAAUCUGCCCUUGGGUUCGGAAUAACAGUUGGAAACGACUGCUAAUACCGGAUGAUGACGUAAGUCCAAAGAUUUAUCGCCCAGGGAUGAGCCCGCGUAGGAUUAGCUAGUUGGUGGGGUAAAGGCCUACCAAGGCGACGAUCCUUAGCUGGUCUGAGAGGAUGAUCAGCCACACUGGGACUGAGACACGGCCCAGACUCCUACGGGAAGCAGCAGUGGGGAAUAUUGGACAAUGGGCGAAAGCCUGAUCCAGCAAUGCCGCGUGAGUGAUGAAGGCCUUAGGGUUGUAAAGCUCUUUUACCCGGGAUGAUAAUGACAGUACCGGGAGAAUAAGCCCCGGCUAACUCCGUG